UAUUCUCUCCAAAACAUCGUUCAGACCUGAAACCCUUCUCCCCCAUAACCAAGAUCUUCUACCUUCUCCACCGCCGGUUCACUUCCACAGCCGCACCUCCUUCGCACUCCGAACGACCGCCGGCUGCCACCUGCACCGGAAUCACUUCCCCUGUCGACCUUCUCCGUCAUCUCCGCCUUGAUACCUCAACCCUACUCCGCUGACCCGCUACUCGACGCGGUCGCUCACCUCCACUUCAUCAAUCGUCGACCACCGCCACUUCUCCUCCAUCUCACGCCGCCCUCUGGAACCACGAGUCACCAAGCCCCACUACCGACCAUCGUUUUCAACCGCCGGCUGCCACCUGAACCGGCAACCCACCACAGUCGAACGACCGCCGGUCUACGUCUUCAGCCGUCGGACUCGUCUCCGAUGUUCACCGACACCCCCUUCUACGACUCUGCCCGCAUAUAUGGUUUUGAAUACUCUCUGCAUUGUUAAAGAGAAAAGGGUAGCCCAACUGUCUCAAGAUCACCACUGUCCAAGCGUUCGCAUAAAACAUCUUCGACCCGAUCCUCUGCCGCCUUUGUAGAUGCCUUCCACAUAUUUUUCCGAGCCUCGAGGACGAUGCUAUAUCUUAAGCUUGGGGAGGUUGAGAUUUGAGGUAAUUUCUAUGUUCUCAUUUUAGCUUGCAUUACCUAGUUAGUUUGUAAAUAGCUGCAUUCUUCAUGUUCGUUGCAUUUAGGGUGUAUAUACAUGCAUAAAAAAAAUUCUUAAAAAAAAAUUAAAAAUAAAAAAAAACCGUUUCUGUUCCGCUGAAAAUGAUUUGUGAAAAAUGAGAGAUGAUAUAAAAUUUCUGGCAUGUCGAAGCUUAUGCGUGAAAUGGUAACUUUGGGGAAGAAAACAUAGAUAAUUCGGGAUGUGUUGAUAGGCUCGGCCCUAACUUAGGAACACCAAUGUUGGAUGCAAUAACCUUAAUUAUAUAUAUGUGUUUAGUUUCCCAUCUUGAUGCUUGUGGUCAAAGAUUGAUCCCGACCAAAAAUCGGUUAAGUUGCAUAUCCUCUAUCACACACCAUGUUCUCCAUAUCAUGACACCUCCGUAAUAAAGAGGUGAAAAAUUGACCUCAAAUUGGUGAAAAAUUGACCUCAUAGGUUAUUAUAGUUUAAAACAAAAAAAAAAAAAAAAAAACAAAAAGAAAAAAAAAGAGAAAAAAGAAGGGGUAAAAGAGCACAAUGUUUGCCAAAAAUUUGAAAAAAAAAAUCGAAAUCGAAAUAAAAAAAUAUUUGAGCAAAUUAGGGAGAAAAGUCCCGACCCCUUGAAAAACGGAAAAAAAAAGAUAAUAACUAUCGUGUCAUGGUCUGGAUGCAUGGUCGCAUCAAGUGUGAUUUUGGAUAUCUUCAAAAAGUCGUGAGGUUGGGUAGAUGUUGCCAUAGGUGUUGGGCGUGGGGACGAUUGAACCAUGUUGGUAAAUUUGUAUAUUAUUAAGCAGAAAGCAUUUGGUUGUGAUUAAGCGGGUUUGAGUUUAAAGGGAUACAAAAUAUCAACAAUCGCGGUUACACGUUUAAGUAUUUCCCGGGUUCGAAUGAAUGUAAUAGGAGUUGAUAUUGUUAGAUAUGAUCUCAUUACAAGUUUAUUUUCCGGAAUAAAAGAAGCGGGUUGAAAAAAAAAUAGUAAGCAUGCAUAUGUGUAUUGUUUUUCGUGUUUAUUUCUCGGAUUAUUCUUAUUCUUGACUUCCUUGAGGACAAGGAAAGGUUUAAGCUUGGGGAGAUUUGUUAGUUGCAUUUUUAGGCACGUUUUAUUGCAUAAUAAUAUUAAUAUUUCACCACAUAUCAUGCAUAUUUCAUAGUCAUACCUCCUUAUUUUGCGAAAUACGCGUUUUUGUGGAACGGAAUCUACUUUGGACAUUUUAAUGAUUUUGUAGAUGUGGAGCAAUCGCCAUAUAUCACAAUGGGCGUGGAAAAGCUUAAGAGGUAUUCAUAAUAAAACAAGAAGAGCAAAGCAGCCGUUGAUGCGAUCCAAUUUAUGUUCAAGCUCAGUCAAAAGGAACAAUGAGGUUAAAAGUUGGUAACUUAGUGGAAGGUGUAAGUUUAAAGCUCAAGAAAAUAAAGAUCUAAAUAGAAUCUACAAGGAGCUCGAAACCAGCAGCAUCCAACAAAAAUUGAAGUUAUGAAAGUGGGCUUUAGUUAAUGAAUUUUAGUUGGACUAAAAUUUGGAAAUGGAAAUUAAAGAAAUUGUUGGGCUGAUGAUGAGAAUGAGAAGCUGGCCUUAAUUAAAUUAGAGAUGAACCACAAUAAAGAAAAAUAAAGGCCCAUGAGAAGUAGGGAAUUGUUGGCUGGGAAUAAAAAAAAGGAUCACGAACAAUCUAAAAAAAACCCAUCUUUGACGGCUGCAAAUUCGAGUGGAGUUCGAAAGAAGCAACAAAUCAGAUUUUGGGAAGUGAUUUUGGUUUGUUAGUUUAUGCUUUGUUUUGUAUUUGACUUGAUUGUUUUAGCCACCAUGUCCGGCUAGACGUUUAUAGUUUCGACAUCGGGGCGUGUUUUCUUUGAUUUGGUUUAA
Long non-coding RNA from Helianthus annuus (common sunflower), 2536 nucleotides. RefSeq lists it as uncharacterized. The record is from RefSeq and is a predicted model, not a curated record. The transcript is spliced from 2 exons. Lineage: Eukaryota; Viridiplantae; Streptophyta; Magnoliopsida; Asterales; Asteraceae.